Long non-coding RNA from Bos mutus (wild yak), 2164 nucleotides. The record is from Ensembl. Lineage: Eukaryota; Metazoa; Chordata; Mammalia; Artiodactyla; Bovidae.
AUUUUGUUUUGUUGCCUGCUGGUACAGCAAUGCAUUGCUCUCCUCAUUGCUUGAUCUCUGGCCAGUGAUGUCAUGUGCAACCAGUUGUCACGCCUGUUUACUGAGUUCUGUCAUAUUAUGGCUGGUGGUGUCAGGAUGGUCGUGGACAAACUAAGUCUUGUGUCCGGGUUCACAGCAGUGAUAUUAUUGGCUUACAAAGAGCAAGGCAGCAUGGCAAGUGACCUAGUUGCUGUUAGUGGAGCCCUGGCAUCUUUGUGUUCUGAAAUAGUUCAGUGGCCUAUAACUUUUCAUGUUGUCCAAGGAAGAGCUUGUGGUAUUGCUUUGAGCCAGGAAGCAAAUAUGCUCGUGUGUCAACUGGGCUGAGUGCAGGUAUCCAAUGAGGCCCCUUUGUCAUGGGACUUAAAUUGUCAUUUUUCAUCAAUAGGCUUCUUGUCAGAGAAGGGCCUUAUUUUCUUGGAAACCAUCAGAAACUUUUUUCCUUUCCCAUGCUGGCAUGCUCUUUGUGAACAGACUAGGUGCCUAGAGUGGGUGUGUUUCUCUGGAAUAGCAGUGGCUAUUAGACCAAGGGGUCUCUGUUCCCCUGAGGGCAUCUUGGGGAUUCAUGGAGGACAUCCUUAAGCAGUAUUGUUGGGGAUGGCAUGGGGAGAGGAAUUGCAGGGCCCAAGACCAGGGAGUUGGCAGAUUGUUGCUGUUUGUCCUGAUGGCCCCUUGAAUCUGAAGCAAUCCACAUGCCAACGCAUUCAUGUUUGGCUUCUGACAUACCAGAUUGAGGUGCAGCAAUUGAAUGGUAGAUGCAAGUAUGAGGGCAAUGCUCCUGGGGGCCUUGCCUCUUUGCCCCGUAUGCCUGUCUCUCUUCCUCAUGCUUGCAUGUAUUUCCUUGCCUCAAGCCAGAUUGAGUGGCCCAGGAUGGAAGACCAUUGGCAUCGGAGACCCAUCACAUAUUCCAUGACUCCCAGCCUGGAAAGUCGAGGCCUACGAGCCGCCACGGGCCACUGGACACGUGGCCCUUGGUGGUACAGGUGGAACACCAAUGGCUGUGCAUUUGGAGCGAAGGACAACAGUGGCAGAUUUAUGGACCAUCCAACAGUUUUCCUCUCCCAUAAUCAGUUUCCUCUGUGGCGGAAUUCCAGAUCCACAAGUGGUUGGUAUCAUGUCCUGUCUUGUCCUGGUGGCCAAUUAUGAGGCAAAGGGGAUGCAUGAGGCAAACAGAAAACAUCUCUCCAUGUUCUCCCUGUGUGCAUGGCAUAAGGUGUGCCUCAGGAUAUCCACAUGUUAUCUCUAUAUCCAGCCCACCUAUCCUUUCCCAAGUUUAGGAGUUUUUCCUGGAAUUCAGUGGGCUGGACCUGGUGAAAACACAGGAGUCAGUUGCCCACAUAAGCGGGUGCUGUCUUAAGGACAGGAGAGGCUUUCUGUCACAGGGGUCUUUUUGUUUUGUGGCCUGCUGGUGCAGCAACACUGUGGUCUCUUGUGUUCCUAGCCUCAAGCCAGAGACAUCAUCAUGGGUUCANNNNNNNNNNNNNNNNNNNNNNNNNNNNNNNNNNNNNNNNNNNNNNNNNNNNNNNCAUGGCUUGUGCUGUCAAGAUGGUCAUGGAUCACCUGGGUCUUGUGUUGUCUCCGGGGCCACUGUAGUGAUGUUUCACUGCCUUAAAAAGUGCAAUACAUCACAAUGAGUAACUUACAUGCUAUAAAAAGGGUGGAGCACCACAUCUUUGCGUUUCAGAAUAGUUCCAAUGGCCUGUAGCUUUUUGUGUUUUUCAAGCUAAACACUUGUAGCACGGCUGUAGUCUGGGAAACAAGCACACUUGUGUGCUACCUAGAUUGUUCACAGCUGUACUGUGGAGCCCCUUUGUUGCACAGCCCAAGAACUAGUUUCAUGGAUAAUCUCCUUGUCAAAGGAGGGCCUUAUUCUUAUGCAAGCUCUCAGAUACCUUUGUUCCUUCCCCAUGGUGGUGAGACCAUUUUGAGCAGAGUAGGUACCAAGAGUGUGUUUUCCUGGAGGGACAGUGGUAGUUCAGACAAGGUGGCCUCCUUCCCCUGAGGGUGAAUUGGGGUUUCUUAGAGGUUAUCUUUACAUUGGGUGAAAAAGUUGGCUUAAAGCUCAACAUUCAGAAAACGAAGAUCAUGGCAUCUGGUCCCAUCACUUCAUGGGAAAUAGAUGGGGAAA